GACGAACGCUGGCGGCGUGCUUAACACAUGCCAGUCGAACGGAAAGGCCCCUUUGGGGGUACUCGAGUGGCAAACGGGUGAGUAACACGUGAGUAACCUGCCCUUGACUUCGGGAUAACUUCAGGAAACUGGGGCUAUUACCGGAUAGGAAUCCUUUCUUCAUGGGGGGGGUUGGAAAGCUUCGGCGGGUUUGGCUGGGCUCGCGGGUUAUCAGCUUGUUGGUGGGGUUGUGGCUUACCAAGGCUUUGGCGGGUAGCCGGACUGAGUGGGCGACCGGCCACAUUGGGACUGAGAGACGGCACAGACUGCGACGGGAGGGAGCAGUGGGGAAGACUGAACAAUGGGCGGAAGCCUGAUGCAGCAACGCCGCGUGCGGGAUGACGGUCUUCGGGUUGUAAACCGCUUUCAGCAGGGGCGAAGCUUGUGGUGACGGUACCUGCAGAAGAAGCACCGGCUAACUACGUG
This 465-nucleotide ribosomal RNA is filed under the name uncultured bacterium. Its description in RNAcentral is "partial 16S ribosomal RNA". It matches the Rfam family "Bacterial small subunit ribosomal RNA", at positions 28 to 507 of the family's 1533-position model. The record is from RNAcentral.